CGAGAUCGUGAUAAGGGAACCCCGUAAGUGCCCGUAAAUUCGGGCUGUCCAUCAGCGUAAAAAACUGGUGAAGAAAGGGCCGGGCAAGACCGGUGCCAGCCGCCGCGGUAAUACCGGCGGCUCGAGUGGUGGCCACUAUUACUGGGCUUAAAGCGUCCGUAGCUGGAUUGUUAAGUCUCUUGGGAAAUCCGCCGGCUUAACCGGCGGGCGUUCAGGAGAAACUGGCAAUCUAG
This 233-nucleotide ribosomal RNA is filed under the name uncultured Methanolinea sp. RNAcentral describes it as "partial 16S ribosomal RNA". It matches the Rfam family "Archaeal small subunit ribosomal RNA", at positions 358 to 595 of the family's 1478-position model. The record is from RNAcentral. Lineage: Archaea; Methanobacteriati; Methanobacteriota; Methanomicrobia; Methanomicrobiales; Methanoregulaceae.